GCGAACGGGUGAGUAACGCGUUGGUGACCUGCCCCAAAGUGUGGGAUAACAGUUCGAAAGGAUUGCUAAUACCGCAUGUGGUCAUUGGAUCUAGAAACCGAUGACUAAAGCAGUGAUGCGCUUUGGGAGGGGCCUGCGUCCCAUCAGCUAGUUGGUAGGGUAAUGGCCUACCAAGGCGACGACGGGUAGGGGACCUGAGAGGGUGGCCCCCCACAAUGGAACUGAAACACGGUCCAUACACCUACGGGUGGCAGCAGUAGGGAAUAUUGCUCAAUGGGCGAAAGCCUGAAGCAGCAACGCCGCGUGCGCGAUGAAGGUCUUCGGAUCGUAAAGCACUUUUCUGAGAGAUGAGAAAGGACAGUAUCUCAGGAAUAAGUCUCGGCUAACUACGUGCCAGCAGCCGCGGUAACACGUAGGAGGCGAGCGUUAUCCGGAUUCACUGGGCGUAAAGCGCGUGCAGGCGGUUUGGUAAGUUGGGCGUGAAAGCUCCCGGCUCAACUGGGAGAGGUCGUUCAAUACUACCAGACUAGAGAGCAGAAGAGGAAGAUGGAAUUCCCGGUGUAGUGGUGAAAUGCGUAGAUAUCGGGAGGAACACCAGUGGCGAAGGCGAUCUUCUGGUCUGUUUCUGACGCUCAGACGCGACAGCUAGGGUAGUAAACGGGAUUAGAGACCCCGGUAAUCCUAGCCGUAAACGAUGUGAACUUGGCGUUGGUGGCUUAAACACCAUCAGUGCCGAAGCAAACGCGAUAAGUUCACCGCCUGGGGACUACGGCCGCAAGAUA
RNAcentral lists this ribosomal RNA (782 nucleotides) under uncultured bacterium. Its description in RNAcentral is "bacterial SSU rRNA". It matches the Rfam family "Bacterial small subunit ribosomal RNA", at positions 98 to 895 of the family's 1533-position model. The record is from RNAcentral.